Molecule: transfer RNA, 86 nt
Filed under: Mortierella alpina
Lineage: Eukaryota; Fungi; Mortierellomycota; Mortierellomycetes; Mortierellales; Mortierellaceae
Rfam family: tRNA
About the family: Transfer RNA (tRNA) molecules are approximately 80 nucleotides in length. Their secondary structure includes four short double-helical elements and three loops (D, anti-codon, and T loops). Further hydrogen bonds mediate the characteristic L-shaped molecular structure. tRNAs have two regions of fundamental functional importance: the anti-codon, which is responsible for specific mRNA codon recognition, and the 3' end, to which the tRNAs corresponding amino acid is attached (by aminoacyl-tRNA synthetases). tRNAs cope with the degeneracy of the genetic code in two manners: having more than one tRNA (with a specific anti-codon) for a particular amino acid; and 'wobble' base-pairing, i.e. permitting non-standard base-pairing at the 3rd anti-codon position.
Source: Rfam by way of RNAcentral
GGGCAAGUGGCUGAGUAUGGUUUAAAGCGUUUGGCUUGAAACUAAAUAUGUAUUUACAUGCGGAGGUUCAAAUCCUUCCUUGCCCG